Molecule: long non-coding RNA, 9824 nt
Filed under: Homo sapiens (human)
Lineage: Eukaryota; Metazoa; Chordata; Mammalia; Primates; Hominidae
Description: HSALNT0390762
Source: RNAcentral
AGAUGGCACCACUGCACUCCAGCCUGGAUGACAAGAGCGAGACUCCAUCUAAAAAAAAAGAAAGAAAGAAAUCAGAAGUUCUUUGACAUCAUUUUAAUUCAUACCUUCUCCAAAUCAGAACCACAAAAGCAGCAUUACCUACACCCAGAAUAGACACAGACAUCAACAGAAGCACAAAGUGAGAUGGAACCCUGUCUCCCAACCUGAGAGGGAGAGUUUGGGCUAAAACACGCCCAUGUGAGGACAGCAUUUGGAAAGUUAAUGCUAAGGAAAUAAGAAGGAUGGGAGUAAAAAGAGGACAAGCCCCGAUGUCCUGUUUAUCAGCUCCCCCUCUCUCCUCUCCUGUCUCAUCCGCUCCCGCCUUGAGGAUAGCGUGGUUUCCCUGGACUCCUUUCCAGACCAGCUGCAGCCCCAUUGGCAAUACCAACUUCCCUAGCUGGGGUUGGCUGGACGGUGUGGUUCUUGGCAGAAGAUGACACAUGGGUAGCAGAGUGACUUUGGCUCCUGCAUCGAGUGCUUGUCUCAGCCCCAUCCAUAGCCAUAUAGAAUCCUAGUGGUGAACAUGCAACACCCCUGAGAGCCACUGACCAGGCAGGCACUGGGGUGAGGGAAAGUGAGGGGACUGUGUGGGACCAGCUGUGCUGACGACAGCCUGCCACCCAAGGGAUGCCUGUCCCUGCACCCUGGCUUUGUUCCUGCACCUGGUCCCCAGGAAGCCAAAUCCAGUGCAUUUUUCCAGCUUCUGCUCAGAGACAGCCAGUGUCUGCAGAAGGGCCAAGGCCACUGGACGUCUGGAGAGAGUCUGGCCACAAUGGCCAAGUGGUGGACGUCUCCACAGGCUGCCCCGUGCCCCUGCAGAGGCAGGGCUUCAUGAAGCAGGAGCAGGCAGCUCAGACCUGGGCCGGGCCACCUGUGCAGGGAGAGUAGCGAUUUACGAAGAGCAAAUGGAAGCGAAAACCCCUUUUCUUCUUUGGGCCGGCUGUGUAUUGCUGGGGCACUUGGGCAGACCCCCAAAGACAUCCUUAAAGACAAGAGAAAUCGGGGGCUGUGUGAAGAUGUCACAUCUGCAGAUAGGGUUCGAGGUAGAGCGGCCUUUUGGGUUUUCUCCUCAUUUGGAGAAAUCGAGAAGUAGCACGGAAGACCUUCAGACCCAGAGCUUGUGUACGGCACAGUCCUUGAAGGAUUUGCUCCCAUUCUCAGGGAGCAAGACCCAUCUUAAACGUGGAAACAAAUACAGCAGAGUAAUACAUACUUGAGGCUUAAUGUAAGUUAAUUCCUCUUGGCACAGCCCCAGAUAUCUUGAUUAAAUGGUCUGCGAAGUGCUGAGAUAUCUUGAUAAUGUACGUUUUACAUUUGAUUAUAUAAUCAAUUAUGUUUCUCCUAAUAAAAUUUAAAAUGAGCUAAAAAAGCCAUGAGAAGACAGUACCACAUAUCAAAAGAAGGUCUCCAGAUGAAUGGAAGGAAGCCCUGGCCCCCUGGGUCACAUGUUGGUGUUCUCAGGCAUUGGGGCCCGGUAUUUCCUGCGUUUACCUGUGCAGAAGUCAUCAUAGCUUACUAGAUUUGUGUUGGUAGAGGGCAUGUGCAGAGUGAGGUAUCAUUUCAAGACACAGAAUAUAGCGCAGCAUUGCUUUCUGGGAUGAACGUGGUUUUAUUCACUCAGUAACUGAGAGAUUGAGGAUUUGGCUCAUCUCAGGAAGCUCAAGGCAGAGCUGAGAAAAGAACUCAACGAAGCUGGGCUUGCCCGAGAGACUGCCACCGAUCUGGUUGGGGCCACCAGUCAAUUUAUGAAACAAUGUAAGGAGGAGUGUUCAGAGGCGCACCAAGGGCCUCGUACAGCCAAUUAGGAGAGUUGCUGGUGGCUUUCUCUGCCUGCCUGUGAAGCAGCAGUGCCCGCUGGGGAGGUGGCAGGAUUUAAUAGAAGGGGCAUGUUCAAACCCAUUCUUCCAGGGAGUGUAGGAGAAGGACCUGAUGAGUCUUCCUAUCCGUGCCCUGGAGGGUGAUGUUUCUCCAAGGAUGCUUCCAUGUAGCAGGGAGCUUGGGAGGUUUGGGGGACAAAUGCUCGUUCUUAUUAAUGGAUGGAAGGGUCUAUUCCAGACAAUCCAUUCUGUCCCGCAGACAGGCUGCUGCACCAUUUUUGUUUCCGUUUAAAACAUUGCUAUCAACCAGUUGGAAUAUAGGCCCGGAGUAUCGCAGGGAGUAAUCUAAUUAGUAUGAAGUCAAUUCAGUCGCUCCUUUUGUAUCUCGUGAUUAAAUAAGUGGGGAAAAUGGCUUGAAAAUUAGGUGCUAGAACGACCCAAUUACAUUUCUGUAGCUUUUUGUAUUCAAUUUCAUAAACAAUUUUGCUCUUCGCUGGUUAAUCAGUGAAUGCCUUUUUCCAGUUUGAAAAGCACUUUUGAAAUUAUAAUGCAAUUAAAUUGUGUGUGGAUGUUCUGGCAUAGCGAGUGUGAAAGCCAGGGGCUUGGCAGGCCGCCAUGUUGUACCUUGACUGUAAUGAGUCCCUGGGCUGGCAGCUUGCGAGUGUCAUUCAUAAUAUUGUCCAUGCUGGGUUACUGUAAAGUGCAGCUGCCUUAACCGGCAGUUAACCGGCGACUGCCAGUCUCUCUCUGCAGUGGGCUGUGCGUGCCUCUUCCAACAGGGCUGUACCCCAAAGACGGCAGAGUGGCCAGGCUCCUCUCAGUACUUGCCCAGGCAUUGGGAAGUCGGGGGUCUUCCUGGUGGAUGGGGCCACUGCCUCAGAGAUGAUCUGAUUACCUGUCCCCAGGGAAGGGUGGAAUGUAUUUAUCCUUCUUCAUCUCCUUGGCCUAGCAGGCUUCUCUGUCUACAGUUACAACAGAUUAUGGGAAGGGGAAGGGAGGAGACAGAAGUCUUAAGCACCUUGCUCUGCACCUAGCUUACAAUAAAUACCUUUACUGAAUCCUUCCAAUAACCUUUGCAAGAGUAGUAUUACUGUCUCCAUUUGAUAGAUGGAGAUAUUGAGGCACAGCGGGAUUUGAUGACAUCCCAUAAGUGGUGGCUCUGAGAUUGGGACCUGAAUUGAUCUAACUCCAAGACCUAUGUUCUUUCAGCAUUUCUGCAACUGGGAAACAAACUGAAAUAAAGGCUGGGGGAGCUGGGUGCAGGAGAGUGGCAUGAAGUCACUGCUCUCCGAGAGGGGACGUGAGGACAUGAACCUUCUUCCUUAGGCUGGGAGAAUGCCUCUUGGUCCACACAAGGAUGCCAUAUAGAAAAUGAAAGAUGCUUUAGUUUUUCACCAAAUUAUAUUUAACCAUAUUUCCACUCCUUUGGACAUUUCGAUGUGAGUUGGGAUGAUCUAUAAGGUGGGCACAAGACACAAGACAGUGACUCAAGGCUGGGAUCAUGAGAAGCCCCUAGGGAAAAUACUGGCCAUGGCAUAAUCCAGUGGCACAAUCCUGUCUCAGUCCCCAGAUCUUGCCCCAAUCAAGAACAAAGACUCUCGUGCCUCUAGUGCCUUAGGAUAUGAGGCCUGUAGAAGGUGGUCGACCCCCAAAGGGCCUCACAGCAGGAGGUGGUGAGAUCACUCUGAUUCUAGAACUUUCUUGCUGAUUAAUGGCUCAAGUCCUAACAGUUAACACCUAGCCUCCACCUCUAAUCCCCUUCUUCCCUAUUGAUUCUUUUUCCUGAUAGAGGCCUUCACACUAAACCCGGUUUACUGCAAAUGAGUGUUAUUAAACUCCUAGAGGGUGCUUUUCAGCACAUUCCUUCAUGUUAAAAUUGCCAUAGACUUUCAACCAAAGGAGGGGAGUACCUGUGGCCUGGUUAUCGUAAUGCUUGCUGAGUGGAAAUGACAAGCUUUACACCAAGGUGGGCCUCCAGGGGGCUGGAGCACUGUGGUGGUGUUUAUUGGUGAGAGAGGAAAGGUUAGCAGGUAGAAGUGAACACACCUGGGCCUGGCUGGUACCGGGGAGAAGGAGGGACAGAGGGAGAAAUGUCCUGACCUACCUUGGACUUGGGGAGAUUGUUUCCUGUUGUAGCCUCUUUUAAAAAUUUUUUUGACUGUGUCUGGGAGAUCAUGGGUCAGGUGCAACAUCUCUUUUGCAGUAAAGCUUGGCAAGGCUAGGGUGGGGAGGUGAAUGGGGUGGGACGGUGGAUUAGAGAGAGGAGGGGAGAUAGGGCCCCUGGGACUAAGCUUAGAUUUAGCUGGGAAGCAUGUUAGUAGCUGCCAGCAUGUGCUUCUAAUCAUCUAUUCGCCAGAUGUUCCCGGAAUGGGAAAUAGAGGGGCCUUGCCUGAUAGUUCCCUGAUGGAAACUGGUAGCUUCAAAUUGGAAAUGGGCUCCAGUUUGCUGCCAGGUGUUUGCUCCUUCCUAGAACAUCUGGAAGGAGGACAGUAGAAAAGGCAUCUCUGCCCCAGCCUGGAGUUUUGCGGGCAGCUGUCUUGCUGAUGGAUCUCUGAAAGCUGGACAUUGUGGUCAUGAGGAGAGUCAUGAGAAUCUUCUGAAAUGAGCCCUCCAUUUGCAGGAGUUCACCUCAGAGUUUAAACUUCCAGGAUUGAGCCUGAGGCUCCAAAACAGGGCACCUUGCAAGCCUGGGCUAAUAAGGCACCUAUUUCUGGAGAGAUGCAGAUUUUUCAAGAUGUUAGAGGAAGAAGCAAGAGGAAGAUGAAGAAUCAGCUCCUGACCUAAUUUCUGGUCCAAAGUGAAAAGAUUGAAAAAUACUUUUUAAGGUGGUGACUAUCCUAAACCAGUGAGCCUUGUGGAAAUUCCAUGAGGAUCUCACAGGGAAAACUGGACCCCGAAUGAAUUAACAUGGAACCCACCUAACCACACAAGUCUUUGCUCUGGGUAUGUGGAACCAAAAUUAUCUUCCUGGCUGAAAUGACCAGUUUCUCAAGAAUUUUAGGGUGCAGUGCAGGAUCCUAAGAUGGUGUAGCAGGAGGCCACUCCCUGGGCCUCUGAGUGCAUCUGCCAUCAGUGGGAAAGGGUGUGAAAUCUGCCUUGGGAGUUACAGGGAGGUCCUCAGCGUAGACACGAGCCACGGCUGACACACACUCAGGAGAACACUUACAAAGCAAACUGAAAGGAAAUUAUGGGACGCUCAUAUGAUGGAUGAUUACACAUCCAUUAAAAUGGUGUUUACAGAGAGUUUUUAAAUGACGUGGAAAUGCCGAUGACAUAGUAUUGCACAAAAAAGCUAUAAAAUUUAUAUACGCUGUGAAUCAUAUUAGAAUUAGAAUCACCUGGGGAGCUCUUAGAGAAGACCAACUCCCAGGCCCCACCUCAGACCAAGUAAAUCAGAGGCUCUGAGGGUGGCGCCUGGACAUCCCUGUCUUUUAAAACCCCCCAGGUGAUUAUGAUAUGCAGGUUGGGUUGAGAGUGAUUGCAGUAAAGCAGUAUUCAUGGAAGGAAAGAAAUUCUCCACACUUUCACCAGUGGUUUUCUCUGGUAGAGGAGUUAUGGGGUGGGUUGAAAUCUGUGCCUUAAUUAUUUGUGAGUUAUCCACGGUUUUGCAGGGAGCAUAGGAGCUAUGAUGAGAACAGGGGUCUCUUCCAGCAGGUAAAAAUGGACAGUGCUGGAGACCCAAGUCGAAUCUCUUCUCUGCAACACUCUUCCCUGCCUGCCUUCUUGUCCCCAGUCCUUGGGAUUCUGUUAAUUUGGGGAUUUAUUUCAUGCUCUUGGUGAUGAGGCCAUUAUGCCUAUUCAGAUUGUUUAUCAGAAAAGCCAACAACCAAAAACAACCUAUUUGAGACAAAGUGGGAGGCCCAGCAUGGCGCCCACUGCAAUUGCUCAUAUGGGUGUGACCUGAGUUCACAGGGUCGCCAGAGUCUGGCAGCUUGGGAUGCAUGGUAUGCAGAAGGCUGCUGGAUCCUCUCUUAUAUGGGGGUUCCUGGCAGGCCGAUCUGGCAGGCAGGUGUGUGAGUCCUGGCUGGGUUGGCUUUCCUCCCAGGACAUCUGGGAGAAAGACCAGCAUGGGAAGAAGGCAGUCAGGGCAGCAGUGACGGCCUCUGGGGCCCCUCCCCCUGCAGAUUUGAGCAAAGCCUGAGCCACAGGUGGGCUCAGGGUAAAGACCAGGGUAGGAGUGUGCACUCAGCCAUAAUUGGCCGCCUUGUUGAUGUAUUGGGUCCAGUGAAGAGCCUCUGAGCAGAGGGAUGCUGUGCCAAGUUUCAUUUCUGGAGCUGUGGUGGCUCUAACUAGGAAUCGAGCUUUUGCCCAGUCCUGACAUCAUUUGAUCAUUUAGCUCCGAGGAACCAGAGGCAGGAAGCAUGCCACUAACCUUUUACUGCCUGUCACUGUUGAAGAGGAGGGGCAGGCCGCCCUGGGAAGGGGAGAAUCAAUCCACAACUUGCUUUUGUCGUUUGUUAAGUCUUCUCUCCCCGCAUUUCAGGCUGAGGGGCCUGACCUUGCCACCUCAGAACCAUGAGACAGGAGGAUGCAGGAAGGGGAGAUGCUCUGAGGGAAUGUGGCAGCCCCCACCAGGCCCCGCUCCUCCCAGGAGAUGGGUUUCUGGUGGACCUGGUAGUGUUUUACCUUGCCUUUACCUCACGUACCUCUGGAUUCUGAAUAUUCUCCUCUGGUUCUUGUGCUCUCUGAAUAUUCUCCUCUUGGAUUCGUGGUGUGGUCAACGACAAGGGUCACCUAGUCUAUACUCCAGUUUCCUCUUGGGUUAAAAUGGAUAAUCCUUUUUGAGAUACUUCAUCGAAUGAUAGUAAGGAUAAAGUGAAAUAACCUACAGGAAUGGGUUUGGAAAGACAGUGGGAAAGUAAUAGUAAUGAUAAUAAUGUCACUUUGAGAGCACAUCCAGACACUCCUCUGUUCUUUUCCUCUCUGUUCCCAGCUGGGCAGGUGAGCAGCUUACACCAAAUGGGAAAGCCAAUACUUUCUACAGCCGACUGCGUGCCUCUGCCUUCCCCGCCCACAUCAGGAGAGGGUCCCAAACCCUCCCUCUCUGCAAAUGCCCACUUCCCUCAUGUCCUCUCAAUCCCACCUACACCCACCCUAGUUCUCCAGACCCCUAAGGAAGGGUACUUUAUCAUUAGGCCAACUAAUUGUUCAUCUGUGCUUCAGUGGGUGUGGUGGGGGAGCUAGAAAGCUGAUCAGCCGUGCCAAAGAGUAAAUCAAUGGAUCGUAGCCAAGUCAGGACAGGUGACCCUGACAGGUGUGUGCAGCAGAAUCGGAUCCUCAAGCCAGAGCCUGCUGGGAAGCAUGAAGGAUUUGGCAUCACCAAGGAGGAAUGUCGCAGGUUUGAAUAAGGAUUCAGAGGUUUAAUCAGCAAAGCUAUUUAGGUCCCAGUGAGUCUAACUGUGAGAAUUAUUUUGAGCUUCACCCUGUUCCAGAAAUUUUGGGUUCGCUAAGCAAGAUGGUAUUUGGCAGCAGCAACCUGGAAAAGAGUGAGGACUUGCCAUAGAAGCCUCUGGGAUUAGAGGAAUUUGCAGAGCCUCAGAGCCCAAGGCUGGCGCCCAGUAAUUUUUGUGGGACAUGGUCUCAGAACUCUAGCUUCUGACGAUUUGCUUUUAAAAGUCCAAUCUGUCUGCCUUUCUCCUUAAGGCAAUCUGUCCUGAAUUCAAGAUAUUCUGUGUCUGCUUGUCUUUGUCCAUUUUGUCACCUUGAGACAUGGCUGCAGCCUCAGGUACCUCCUGGCACAUAAGCAGGUGCUAAACCAAUAUUGAUUGAAUCGAAGGAGGCUAGCACGUUGGAGGGAAUGUGUUGCCUUCUGUGUAAAGAGCCCUCCUUUCCCCAGAGCUGGCAUCUCUGCUAUGGAGGCUGCCACCCACCAGCUCAGGGCAGAGAGCUGAGCUCGGCCGACCUCCAUUCGUCAGCACGGCGCCACAUUUGGGUAGCACCUGCUUCCCCGCCGUCCUGAUUUAGAGGAGCCUGGAUUCAGGUUUCUGUUGUAAACUCUAUUUUUAACUAAACCGAGUGGAGAUCAGGCUGAGAUGGCUGUAACUUAUGGGCAUGAGGUGACCAAUGCAAAGGUAACAGGAUGCAUUCUCACUGGAACUGCUGUGCAAGUGUGGACGUGCCCGACAACUCCGUCUGAGGAUCCCACAUGGGCACAGUGACCUGGGAUGGAGCAGGAGUGCCCCCUCGUAGAGUCCAGAUGCACAUGUCCAAUGGGAAGGCGAGGGCAGUCUCCUAGAAUGCCUCUGUGGUGGGCGGUACGGUGUUCAUGGGGACCACUUGUCAGUGUCUGCCCUUAUUUGUCAGCAUUGGUUACUAGUUAUUGUAAAGAUAUUGCCUUACAUUUAUAUUUCCCAAAUGCAUUGAUCCCUAUAAUGACCUUGAAAAGCAAUAAUAGCGUUAUAAUAAUAUGUAAUAAUAGUAUUAAUGACCAGCAACUUCUGCUUAUUGAUCCCUUAGGAUGUGUCGUGCUCUGUGCCAAGUGCCCUCCUACAUUAUCACUCAUUAAUAAACCAGGUGGGGAGGCUGUUACUGGGAUUUCCAUUUUUCAGAUUCAUUCAUUCAUUUGACAAAUUUUUAUUGAGAAUAAGUUCUAGGCACAGGGAAUUCAGCAGUGAACCACCCAGGCUGAAAUCUCUGCCCUCAAUGAGGAAGCUGAGCCUGUUGAGGUCACCUGAGUUGCUCAGGGUGAUAGAGCCCAUAGAGUGAGGCUGGGGAUCAACCCCCAUCACUCCAGACCUGCUGAGUUCCUGGGCCACCACAUUUAUCAGCAAGGAUAACCGACCAGCCAUUGGCCUCUAUUAUAUGGCAGCUUAUCCAGGGCUGUGUUAACACUAAGCCUUCCAUUUAUUUUGGUUGAUCUUCCAGGGGCUGAUGGAGGAGUGACAGGCUUUAGGGACAGACAGACCUGGGCUUACAUCCCAGCUCAGCGACUCCCUGAUGGAAGGAGGGCAUGGACAGUGACUUGACUUUGCUGAGCAUCUGAUUCCUCAUUUGUCUAACUGGGAUAACAUUACUUGCCUUGAGGGCGAGGGCAGGCUAGAAGGAUUAGAUAUCAUCAUAUGAAGGGGUUGAGUAGGACUUAUAAGCCAAGUACGUGGUGGUGGUUGUGACGAUAAUGAUGACAACCUAAUAAGAAGGAAAAGCCAGGCGGGGAAAGGAAUAUGGCUCAUCCUAGAGGAGAACAAGUCAGGAGGUAGCUCUACCCCUCCCUCCCUGGGCUAGGAUUUGUCAGUCCCAGGUUGGGAAAGGAACUCCAGCCCCUGCACAUCUGUGUCUCCCCAGCCCCACCCCUCAUAUCCUCCAUCCUAGCCCCAGCAAUGCCGCUGCUCCUCUGGGGAAAGCUAAUGGCCAAGGCAUUACUUAACUCCUGGCUUUUCUCCAGCCUUUGCUGAGGCCUCCACCACUGCCAGCUUCUCUCUCGUCACUAUUUGGUUAUGUUCCUUUACAAGCCAAUGAAAUAAAAUAAGAAAGUCCAUUAUACCUCUGGUUGGCAGAAAACCAGGAGCUAAGAACCAGAGUGCAAAGGCCCUCAUGAGUCUGUAGCACAGGCCAUUGGAUGGGGAUGUCUUCCUUCAGAAGGAUGGUGCAUGGGCGGGGCAGGGCGGAGAAGCCAGCCCAUGGGCCAGUCCACAGAGCCCAGGUCAAGGAUGCAAUUCUGGGUCCUGUGUCCCCAUGGUUGAGCCUCUGGUGGCCACCCCCAGUCUCUCCUAGAAGGUUUCCAGCCUGGAUGUGUCAGGCUGGCAUGUGUGCCAGGCUGGAUGUGUCAUAUGGGGCACAGCCUUUAGGCGCAGCAGUAGGUGACCCUUUGUAGGGCAAGGGUCUCUCUCUGAGUGUGGGUUCUGUCCUAGCUUUUGCCAUCUAUCUUCUACCAACUACUGUGGAGCUUCGGUUUCAUCAGUCUUAAGAGAUGAGCAGGACAGAUGGCUCUGCCAGCCUUCAAAGACACAAAUUCUGCAUUCUCUCUCUCUC